Molecule: ribosomal RNA, 552 nt
Filed under: uncultured Alphaproteobacteria bacterium
Lineage: Bacteria; Pseudomonadati; Pseudomonadota; Alphaproteobacteria
Description: partial 16S ribosomal RNA
Source: RNAcentral
UUGGGAGCUCUCCCAUAUGGUCGACCUGCAGGCGGCCGCGAAUUCACUAGUGAUUCGUAUUACCGCGGCUGCUGGCACGAAGUUAGCCGGGGCUUCUUCUGCGGGUACCGUCAUUAUCGUCCCCGCCGAAAGAGUUUUACAACCCUAGGGCCUUCAUCACUCACGCGGCAUCGCUGGAUCAGGGUUUCCCCCAUUGUCCAAGAUUCCCCACUGCUGCCUCCCGUAGGAGUCUGGGCCGUGUCUCAGUCCCAGUGUGGCUGGUCGUUCUCUCAAACCAGCUACCGAUCAUCGCCUUGGUGAGCCGUUACCUCACCAACUAGCUAAUCCGACGCGGGCCCCUCCAACAGCGAUAAAUCUUUCUCCCUAAGGACGUAUUCGGUAUUAGCCGCAGUUUCCCGCGGUUAUCCCCAACUGCUGGGCAGGUUCCCACGCGUUACUCACCCGUUCGCCACUCCCCUUGCGGGGCGUUCGACUUGCAUGUGUUAGGCAUGCCGCCAGCGUUCGUUCUGAGCCAUGAUCAAACUCUAAUCGAAUUCCCGCGGCCGCCAUGGC